AGAAACAAGUCCUCGAGGCUUGGCAAAGCGGGAGCCUUCCGCGGCAGAGCUUGGGUGUCCGGGCUCUGAGGCUCCGGUCUGACCUCUCCACGGGGUCGACGGGAAUGUCUCCGGAUGCCAGGAGUUGCAAAGGGCAGACCUAGAUGAGGAAACCCCAGGCAGAGUCCUGGGGAAGCAGCACGGCAUCCGAGCCUCAGGCUUGCCUGGACGGUGUUGGUUGGGGUAAGAUUGGGGAAGAUGCCAGGUGAUAGAAUCCACCCUGCCUCUGACAGCAUCCAAUCUGGAGCAAAGGCUUAUUUCAACCCUCCCCCAAGCUCCCAAUACAAGCCCAAAUUCUGGAACAGGUCCUUUCCAACACCUCCUUCAGAGAAGCUCCCUGGCUCCAGGCAGUGCUUGCUCCCCUCACUGCAGCAGGAAGCCUAACUUGCGAACUGCAGGUGUGCUCCAGGUGGUCACUGGAUGCAAGGCAUUGACAGAUGGAUCCCAUCGAUACCCCCACUGCAAAACCAUAGUGCAGUGAAUAGAAGACACUUCUCUGCACCCCAAAAGCUCCAUGCUGAUUGUGAGAAGGAAAUGCUGGAUGGAGGGGUUCCUGGAACUACUGUGAGGGUUUCUUUUGAUUUCUCCUGCUUAGAAAUGGUGAGAGAACUUUGGAUGUGGAACGUGGAGGAGGAGGAACACGAAGUGGGGAUCUCCACUUGGGGUGGUCAGCACUGCGGGUGCCCAGCAAAGUCACUGCCUGGUCCACAUCCCGGAGGGGUCUCUGCGCCUCAGUCGGCAUCGCAGCUGAUGGUGAAACUUUUGGUGUGGCAGAAGAGUGUCCACAAACUUCGGAAGAUCGCUGCUCAGAGUGAGGAAUGGAGUUGUGUUUUGAAUAAAAUAUCCACGCAUCCUUUUGUGAGCAAGGAGCAUGAUGGUA
This 919-nucleotide long non-coding RNA is filed under the name Homo sapiens (human). RNAcentral describes it as "HSALNT0400415". The record is from RNAcentral. Lineage: Eukaryota; Metazoa; Chordata; Mammalia; Primates; Hominidae.